RNAcentral lists this ribosomal RNA (253 nucleotides) under uncultured bacterium. Its description in RNAcentral is "partial 16S ribosomal RNA". It matches the Rfam family "Bacterial small subunit ribosomal RNA", at positions 524 to 776 of the family's 1533-position model. The record is from RNAcentral.
UACGUGGGGUGCGCGCGUUGUUCGGAAUUACUGGGCGUACAGUGCGUGUAGGCGGCUUAUUAUGUCAGGUGUGAAAGCCCUCGGCCUAACCGAGGAAGUGCGCCUGAAACUGAUAAGCUUGAGUACGAGAGAGGAGGACGGAAUUCCCAGUGUAGAGGUGAAAUGCGUAGAUAUUGGGAGGAACACCGGUGGCGAAAGCGGUUCUCUGGAUCGAUACUGACGCUAAGACGCGAAAGCGUGGGGAGCAAACAGG